This 313-nucleotide long non-coding RNA is filed under the name Mustela putorius furo (domestic ferret). RNAcentral's name for it is "lncRNA (ENSMPUG00000024827.1)". The record is from RNAcentral. Lineage: Eukaryota; Metazoa; Chordata; Mammalia; Carnivora; Mustelidae.
GAGUAAUCAAGAUUGAUGUAAUAAUGGAGGAUAUUGAGUUUACUGUAUUGAUUACUACUGCAUUCAAUAAUAAUUUGCUGAAGCCUGGGCAUACUGUUUUGGAGCAUGUAUGAGAAUAGAAUUAAUGCCACGGAUAUGGGGACCUUUUAAGUUCAUAAAGGAGCUCUUUGAUCAAAGCACUUCCUGUGGAUCAAGGCCAGUGCUAGCCUGGCUGACAGUGAUGCACCUGGACGGCAGCACUUCAUACAGUAGAGACCAUGCCCACCUACAGGUAAGGGCAGCAGGAAGAGGAAUCCAGAACUAUUGGAAGAGC